RNAcentral lists this non-coding RNA (125 nucleotides) under Erythranthe guttata (spotted monkey flower). RNAcentral's name for it is "Mimulus guttatus (spotted monkey flower) Eukaryotic small subunit ribosomal RNA". It matches the Rfam family "Eukaryotic small subunit ribosomal RNA", at positions 1190 to 1479 of the family's 1831-position model. Lineage: Eukaryota; Viridiplantae; Streptophyta; Magnoliopsida; Lamiales; Phrymaceae. The record is from Rfam by way of RNAcentral.
UUAAUUUGACUCAACACGGGGAAACUUACCAGGUCCAGACAUAGUAAGGAUUGACAGACUGAGAGCUCUUUCUAUUUUUUUUUGAUUGAAGAUGUAAAUAGUAUAAAUCAAAAAAGUCGUAGACA